GGUGGGCGCCGUCGGGCGCCAGGUGGGCGGCGCGGAUGAGGCGGGCGCGGCGCUCGGCCUGCAGCACCACCUCGAGCUCGGCGAAGCGCUGCUGGUCCCGCUGCCGCCGCUGGUAGUAGAGGGUGCCGCCGCGCACCACGUAGCAGGCGGCCGCCUUGCGGAUCUUCCGCUUGGCGUUGCCCUCCGUGCCCGGCGCGUAGGGCUCCCGCUCGUUGGUCAGGUAGCGCAGGAUGGCCAGGCUCAGGAGAUGUAAUGGUGGAGGUAAGAACGAAGAGAAAAUUUGAAGUAGAAUUUCAUGUUUUAAUACCAAUGUACAUGUCAGGAGAAGCAAAAUCGGUGAUGCGUUUGUACCAGCAUGAUCCAGGGAUGGUGGCACAAGGUUGCAUCUUGAGCUCAAGAGGGACUAAAGACUCCAAGCUGUACAAAGCUGUACAAUGGAACAACAGAAGACCAGCUGCAUUGUGAGCUACAGGAUUGGUUUGAGGUAGACAACGGUGAUCCUUCCCCUCUAUUUAGCACUUGGAAGACUGUAACUGAACUACUUUGUCCAGUUUGCCCCUUCCUCCCCAAAACCAAGAAGGAUAUUGACAUCCUGGAUGGAGCAAGCCCAGCAGAGUGCCAUGAAGAUGGUCAAGAGAGGGUGCAUAUUAUCAAGGGUCAUGAGCACAUCAAGGGUUUGUUCAGCUUUAAAAACAGAAGGCUUUAUGUGGAUCUUGUUGCUGUCUGCAGCUAUCUCAUUGGAGGGUAAAGAAAACAGAAAAAGAUUCUUCACAGAGAAGCACAGUGAUAGAUUGAGAGGCAACAGAGACAAGUUGGAACAGGAAAUUCCAGUCAGCUUUACUGUUUUUAAAAAAAGCCAUGAUGGUGGUUAAAUACUGGAGGCAGUGAAAUCUCUGUGUUCAAGACUUGACUGGACACAGGCAUGAGCAAUGUCAUCUAGUUAGAGCUGCUUGGAGCUGGAGGCUAGACUAGAUGACCUCUGGAAGUCCUUUUCACCUUGACUUAUUCUGUGAUUAUGAAAGAUUAUUCCAUUUUUAAUGAUAAACAUUUAAUAGGGAAUCAGUUAAAUUGCAUUGGGCAGCCACCUGAUCUUUAAUUUAUGAAUUUGUUAAAUUUCAUUGCAUUAGGGUAAAUCUGUUCAAGCUGAGUAACAGUGAGUUCUAUGCAGUGAAGUUAACACCCUGCAUCACUCCACUUGUUUUACAGGCUGCGCUGUUCUCUGAAAGGCUGUUAGAUUUUCAGUCAGUCUCACUACCUAAGUCAGAACUCAUCAAUAAACACCAGGGAAUACCUUAGAGCAUUCUGCAUCUGCAGUAAAACCAGGCAGCCAAGCCUGCACACUUAAAAGCACAUGGACUUACUAAUUGCUCAUAUUUGACAAUCAGUUGCUAAAUACAAUGCUAGUGGAUUUUCAAACAUUUUACAAUGUUCUCGCUUUUUAGCUGAGGACACUCAUAUGGAACAAUUAAAAUGAAAAGCACACAAACAUACAUGCAGUGUACCAGCUGCUCAAUGCCAAUAAAGACCGAAACAAUGAGUAUUUACGCUUUCCUUUGAGAUUAGUUGUUUUACCAGCAUAGAUGACUUCCAUCAGGGUAUUUAGCCUUCAUCAUUUUAAAUCAUUCCCCUCCCUAUUCAAAAAAGGACUUUCCUCCCUCCUGCCCUUUGACAGCGAAGAUAACAUUCAAAGCAGUUCUAGGAUGGCAGAUGCAUUAAAAGCCAAAUCAGUAAGCCAUUUUACUUUUCAAAAACUGCAACAGCUGAAUUCAGUGUAGUGAAAGCCCUGAAGGGGGUAUUUGCCAUCUGAAAUACUAUUUUCAAUUGUGAGAUGAAAAGGUGACAUCAAUAAAUUGUGA
This is a long non-coding RNA of Rhea pennata, 1856 nucleotides long. RefSeq lists it as uncharacterized. NCBI's taxonomy places the organism in Eukaryota, Metazoa, Chordata, Aves, Rheiformes, Rheidae. The transcript has 3 exons. The record is from RefSeq and is a predicted model, not a curated record.